GCGCGCGUAACUUUCUCGCAUUAGGUUGCAAGGGGGAAGGGAAUGAGUCCCUUCCGGUUGCGUCGUGCGGAAGG
This 74-nucleotide small RNA is filed under the name Collinsella sp. CAG:289. RNAcentral's name for it is "Corio-PBP RNA". It matches the Rfam family "Corio-PBP RNA". Lineage: Bacteria; Bacillati; Actinomycetota; Coriobacteriia; Coriobacteriales; Coriobacteriaceae. RNAcentral also lists the same sequence under 1 other name. The record is from Rfam by way of RNAcentral.